RNAcentral lists this ribosomal RNA (492 nucleotides) under uncultured bacterium. Its description in RNAcentral is "partial 16S ribosomal RNA". It matches the Rfam family "Bacterial small subunit ribosomal RNA", at positions 29 to 507 of the family's 1533-position model. The record is from RNAcentral.
AGUGAACGCUGGCGGUAGGCCUAACACAUGCAAGUCGAACGGCAGCACAGUAAGAGCUUGCUCUUACGGGUGGCGAGUGGCGGACGGGUGAGGAAUACAUCGGAAUCUACUUUUUCGUGGGGGAUAACGUAGGGAAACUUACGCUAAUACCGCAUACGACCUACGGCUGAAAGCAGGGGAUCUUCGGACCUUGCGCGAUUGAAUGAGCCGCUGUUGGAUUAGCUAGUUGGCGGGGUAAAGGCCCACCAAGGCGACGAUCCGUAGCUGGUCUGAGAGGAUGGUCAGCCACACUGAGACUGAGACACGGUCCAGACUCCUACGGGAGGGAGCAGUGGGGAAUAUUGGACAAUGGGCGCAAGCCUGAUCCAGCCAUACCGCGUGGGUGAAGAAGGCCUUCGGGUUGUAAAGCCCUUUUGUUGGGAAAGAAAAGCAGCAGGUUAAUACCCCGCUGUUCUGACGGUACCCAAAGAAUAAGCACCGGCUAACUUCGUG